GAGGGUAUAGCUCAGGGGUAGAGUGAGUGCUUAGCAUGCAUGAGGUCCUGGUUUCAAUCUCCAGUACCUCCA
This 72-nucleotide transfer RNA is filed under the name Camelus bactrianus (Bactrian camel). It matches the Rfam family "tRNA". Rfam says of the family: Transfer RNA (tRNA) molecules are approximately 80 nucleotides in length. Their secondary structure includes four short double-helical elements and three loops (D, anti-codon, and T loops). RNAcentral also lists the same sequence under 1 other name. Lineage: Eukaryota; Metazoa; Chordata; Mammalia; Artiodactyla; Camelidae. The record is from Rfam by way of RNAcentral.